This 588-nucleotide ribosomal RNA is filed under the name uncultured bacterium. RNAcentral describes it as "bacterial SSU rRNA". It matches the Rfam family "Bacterial small subunit ribosomal RNA", at positions 338 to 916 of the family's 1533-position model. The record is from RNAcentral.
CCUACGGGAGGCAGCAGUAGGGAAUCUUCCGCAAUGGACGAAAGUCUGACGGAGCAACGCCGCGUGAGCGAUGAAGGCCUUCGGGUCGUAAAGCUCUGUUGUUAGGGAAGAACAAGUGCUAGUUAAAUAAGCUGGCACCUUGACGGUACCUAACCAGAAAGCCACGGCUAACUACGUGCCAGCAGCCGCGGUAAUACGUAGGUGGCAAGCGUUGUCCGGAAUUAUUGGGCGUAAAGCGCGCGCAGGCGGUUUCUUAAGUCUGAUGUGAAAGCCCCCGGCUCAACCGGGGAGGGUCAUUGGAAACUGGGAAACUUGAGUGCAGAAGAGGAAAGUGGAAUUCCAAGUGUAGCGGUGAAAUGCGUAGAGAUGUGGAGGAACACCAGUGGCGAAGGCGGCUUUCUGGUCUGUAACUGACGCUGAGGCGCGAAAGCGUGGGGAGCAAACAGGAUUAGAUACCCUGGUAGUCCACGCCGUAAACGAUGAGUGCUAAGUGUUAGGGGGUUUCCGCCCCUUAGUGCUGCAGCUAACGCAUUAAGCACUCCGCCUGGGGAGUACGGCCGCAAGGCUGAAACUCAAAGGAAUUGACGG